AUUGAACGCUGGCGGCAGGCCUAACACAUGCAAGUCGCACGAGUGGCGGACGGUUGAGUACUUUCUGGGAAACUGCCUGAUGGAGGGGGAUAAAUACUGGAAACGGUAGCUAAUACCGCAUACCAUCGUAUGUGCCCAUAUGGGAUUCGCUAGUGGGUGGGGUAAAGGCUAACCUAGGCGACGAUCCCUAGCUGGUCUGAGAGGAUGACCAACCACACUGGAACGGAGACACGGGCCAGACUCCUACGGGAGGAAGCAGGGGGGAAUAUUGCACAAUGGGCGCAAGCCUGAGACAGCAAUGGCGCGGGUAUGAAGAAGGCCUUCGGGUUGGAAAGUACGUUCAGCGGGGAGGCGUUACCCGCAGAAGAAGCACCGGCGAACUCCGUGCCAGCAGCCGGGGUAAUAC
RNAcentral lists this ribosomal RNA (406 nucleotides) under uncultured bacterium. RNAcentral's name for it is "partial 16S ribosomal RNA". It matches the Rfam family "Bacterial small subunit ribosomal RNA", at positions 29 to 526 of the family's 1533-position model. The record is from RNAcentral.